AGUUUGAUGGUUAUUAACUGAUAAAUUUAACUGAAUUUGACCAGUUGAAACCUGUAUAAAUCAUGUUAUUUAAAAAUAAAGUCAAGUAUAGGACAUUAUGCUUAGUUAAAAUGUUUUAUUGCUCUGAAGCAUCUGCUAAGCCUGUUACACAGAUUCUUCUGUUCUUAUUUGAAAGUACUGGGGAAUACAAUGACUGGUAGGCUUUAUAGCAUCCCAGUAAUUGUCUGGCAAUUGGACCACACUUUAUAGCAAAAUCAAUCAAUGUUAGCUAUGGAUCACCAAUUUUUAUCUUGUUUGUCUGUCUUUUCUGUAGAUUCCGUUUAGGUUUUUCGUUUUCCUUCUCCUGGGCUAGUGACUAUGGCAGGCUACAUGCGAACACCCCCUGUGAAUUAAAAAAGCAAACAAACACUUUGACUUAAUGAUCACUACAUCACCCCCA
This 439-nucleotide long non-coding RNA is filed under the name Bos taurus (domestic cattle). RNAcentral's name for it is "long non-coding RNA NONBTAT018822". The record is from RNAcentral. Lineage: Eukaryota; Metazoa; Chordata; Mammalia; Artiodactyla; Bovidae.